UACGGGGGGGGCAAGCGUUGUUCGGAAUUACUGGGCGUAAAGGGCUCGUAGGCGGCCAACUAAGUCAGACGUGAAAUCCCCAGGCUCAACCUGGGAACUGCGUCUGAUACUGGAUGGCUUGAAUCCGGGAGAGGGAUGCAGAAUUCCAGGUGUAGCGGUGAAAUGCGUAGAUAUCUGGAGGAAUACCCGUAGCGAAGGCGGCACUCUGGGCCGAUACUGACACUGAGGAGCGAAAGCGUGGGGAGCGAACAGG
This 253-nucleotide ribosomal RNA is filed under the name uncultured bacterium. RNAcentral's name for it is "partial 16S ribosomal RNA". It matches the Rfam family "Bacterial small subunit ribosomal RNA", at positions 524 to 776 of the family's 1533-position model. The record is from RNAcentral.